ACGAACGCUUGCGGCGUGCUUAACACCUGCAAGUCGAACGGAAAGGCCCUGCUUUUGUGGGGUGCUCGAGUGGCGAACGGGUGAGUAACACGUGAGUAACCUGCCCUUGACUUUGGGAUAACUUCAGGAAACUGGGGCUAAUACCGGAUAGGAGCUCCUGCUGCAUGGUGGGGGUUGGAAAGUUUCGGCGGUUGGGGAUGGACUCGCGGCUUAUCAGCUUGUUGGUGGGGUAGUGGCUUACCAAGGCUUUGACGGGUAGCCGGCCUGAGAGGGUGACCGGCCACAUUGGGACUGAGAUACGGCCCAGACCCCUACGGGAGGCAGCAGUGGGGAAUAUUGCACAAUGGGCGGAAGCCUGAUGCAGCAACGCCGCGUGCGGGAUGACGGCCUUCGGGUUGUAAACCGCUUUCGCCUGUGACGAAGCGUGAGUGACGGUAAUGGGUAAAGAAGCACCGGCUAACUACGUG
RNAcentral lists this ribosomal RNA (467 nucleotides) under uncultured bacterium. RNAcentral describes it as "partial 16S ribosomal RNA". It matches the Rfam family "Bacterial small subunit ribosomal RNA", at positions 29 to 507 of the family's 1533-position model. The record is from RNAcentral.